This 3592-nucleotide long non-coding RNA is filed under the name Homo sapiens (human). RNAcentral's name for it is "HSALNT0095489". The record is from RNAcentral. Lineage: Eukaryota; Metazoa; Chordata; Mammalia; Primates; Hominidae.
GGGGUCCGGAGCGAGGCCCACACAGUACCGGCCUAGGGAGCUAGGGCGCGGGUCGAGCAAAAGCGCGCGACGCUGGGCGGGUGUGGGGGUGGGGAGGGGCGGAGGAGGGAGCAACGCCCCGGGAGGCGGGGCCAGGAACCGGCUGAUCCGGUCUCUGUUUUCCGACCUCUCCGGAGCGGGUGUUUACCCGGGAGCCGGACGGAGGAGGCCGGGGCCGGUCGAGCCCGGAAGGGGGGAGGGGAGCGCAGUCGGAGACCGAGGCUGAGACCUUUUCGGUUCCUUUCCCCUAAAUCGACUUCCAACCCUCGUUCCUGAGCGUGGGAGAACGCGGCAGACAGACAGAUGUCUCCCGCCCCUUAUCCUAUCCAGUUCCGCAAUUCACACUCGUUGCCAAAGAGUGGGGAGCGGGAAUGGAUACACCCGGGAACGACUGCACGUCCUGCGGGCGCCCGGGGAAGAAGGCAGCGCAGCACAAAACCUCUCCUGCGGUCACCUCCCACCCCAUCCUGCACCUGAGUUCUUGCGGGGAGGGGGUGCCCACAGCAGGUCGGGCCCAGAGGAUCCGGCAGGGGUCACUUUGAGGUGUACGGACUAGGAGUCUAUCCUCAGAACGCGUCAGCUCGACCCCAUCCCCGAUUAAUACCAGUGCGGGUCUCAGUCUCUUGUCCCUCGCGUCCCCCAGCCCUCUCCAAGGCCUCCAGAUUUAGCUCCCACUCUCCACGGGACGCAGGCCCGAGGACCCGGAAGAAGCUGAGUGGGGUCCGGUUUUCACACUUUUAUUGUAAAGCUCGGGAAUAAUUACACGGGUCUUUCAUUGACAGCUCAGCAAACAAACCGGAAACGAACCGAACCGGAGGGGGUAGGGGCGGUGCCUGCGCAUGCUCGCGGCGGGGUGGGGGGGGGUGGGGGUGGGGGUGGGGGGGUCAGAGAAAGAGAAAGACAGAAAGAGACAGAAAUCAUUACAAAUCAACGGGAUUGUGCUCGCAGCGCCAGGGAUGGGGUGGGGUGGGGCGGGGCGGGGGCCCUUCCCGGGAGGAGCGAGGCAGUGGGAAGUGGCACGAACCAAGAGAAACACGACCCCAAUGUGGGCACCCGACGCGCCCAAAACCCCCCACCCCGACCCCCACCCCCCUACACACGAGAGAGACACGGCCCCCCUCCCCACUAGAUAACCCGAGGAGACACAGUCUCCCCUCCCCAUGGGCAGACACACCCGCCCGAAACCCCAUGGGCGGGACACAGUCCCCCCUCCCAGAGAAGUCCCCAGUGGAGACGCCCCUUAAGAGACUUUCUCAUGGCCAACACAAGCCCUCCCAACACCCGGAGACAGCCCCGACCCAGGGAAGAAAUGGCUCCAGAGGCCCUACCCUCGGGAGAGAGAGGUAUCCCAGGGCUCCUAGGAGAAAAGACAACUCAGAGAUGCCCAGCCUCAUCCUAAAGUGCUGCAGGGCAGAGAAACCCCCAUAGGAGAGAUGGGGGUAGGGCCAGAAACAUCCCUUCCCAGACGUGUUUCAGAGAUAGCCCCCUUCCCUGGGAAGAGAGAUGGCCCGAAACUGACUUGCCUUAAGUACUCCCAGGAACCCUGGGAGGAAAACAGGCUCCCCAGAGAGCCUGGGUAAUUGGGGGAGACAUGCUCCCGUGGUCCUCAGCGGGAACACAUGUCCCCCGGAGACUCCCAAGGGGAGAGAUAGGGCCUAGAGAGACCCCAGAGGUGAGGGAUGCCCAGAGAACUUCCCCCCACCCCGGAAUGUGAAACAUGCUUCAAGGACCCUAGGAGAGAAAUAUGUCCCCAUAUACCCUCCCCCUACGGAGAGACAUGCCCUGAAGUAGGGGGAUGGGGACCGACUAGGUCCCCUCUGGGAAGACACAGACUGGGUCAGGCUGGGUUUGAGGGGGGCUCUCCUCUGGCCAAAUGUCGCCUAUUGGUACAUAAAACUGUACGCGACACAGGCAUUGGGGAGGGGCUUCACAGACCUAGGACCCACAGGGAUAGUCCCCAGUGCUGUCGCCAACCCCUGCCCACCUUUGGUUUCAUCUCUCCAGUGCCCAGUUGGUGACAGACUCAGUGCCCUGGCCCCAACCAGGGGGCUGGGGGCUCUGUCUUUGCCUGUGGGAAGGGCUUCUCAGCUCUCCCAGCCAUCUGGGCCACCCUCUUUCUUCUGGCUUCUCCAUUGUGCAAAAUGCUCCUCUGCUCUUCUGCUCAGUGCUCAGGGGUCUCUAAGACCAGGGCAAGGUACCCAGGCCACUAGGGGCUUCCAGUGGGAGUCCACUGACCCCAGGAAUGCCGCCUGUCUGGACCACCUUCUCCACCAAGCAAAUGGGCCUCAUACAAUCUUCUUGCCCGAAUCCUGACCUCCAGGACCCAGGACAAUCCUUGAGGCCACUGUUCCACCAGCUGGGCACCCAAUACUACCAACUCCAAGACUAUUGCACCUGCCCCAUUUGUGCAGGGGAAAGGGGCUGUCUCUUUAACAAGCCCCAAGCCCAUCUCCUGGGCCUCCCCAAGGGAAAGGAGCCUUUGGCCAACCCCUAGACCUGGCUGCUGCCACCCCAUCCCAUUCUACCCCUUCCCCUCUGUAGAAGGGCUUCGUAUGCCAGGGCUACCAGCCUAACAAUGCUCUCCUUCCUAGCACUGUCACCCCAAGCCAAGUUGGGGGUAAGGGGCAGAUAAAUAGGGUGAUUCUUCAGGCCCCUGGCUUUGAGAUGGCCACAGUGGGAGACGGGGGCUCUGCAGGACGCCCCUUACACCCUGGCCCCCUGAGGUGAAGAAGAGAACUUCACCUCAUCAUGGCUGACUGGGCUUCUCUGCCCCCCAACCUCCCUACCCCCUCCCCCAUGGGACCCCUGACCCUGACAAAGGGAAGCCCAACUGGAAGAAGGGGGCCUGGAGCCCAGGGUGCCCUGAGGCAGCCCUCCCACCCCCUGAGAUCAAGGCAAUGGUGGUUUUACAGGCUGACGGGUCAGUCAUGGCAGGGGCUGGGGGUUGAGAGGGCAGGGAGGGGGCAGGAUGCAGGCCCCCUAUAUCGGGAGCAGCACCCAGCCACCCCCUGAGCAAACCUUCCUGCUCCCAACUCACCCAACCAGGCCAGAGGCACAGUCAUCCCACCCCUGUCCAGCUGCCCCCCACAGCCUCAGGGCCCCUCUGUGAUGCUCAUCUGGAUGUGGGAGGCCAGCCUGAGCGGGGAUCCCCCCAGGGCACAGCGCAACAGUUCCAAAAAAAUAGAGAUUUGUAUUUUUAAGAAAAAUUAAAUAAAAGCCCAGCUCUGCUGAUAGGCAAAUGUUACCCCCGUCCCCACCCCCACCCACCCGUUGUUUCCCUGGCCUGCACCCCCAUCCCACCAUGGCCCCAGGGGUAUUUACAACAUGGAACAAUAGAGGCCUGGGUUGGGGGGCACUGCGGCAGGGAGGAGGGGGCACAGGGCAGGUCCCCCCCCAGAGGGGUCCCCCAAGACAACACGACAUCAACAAGAAAAGUUGCAAAUCAGGCAGAAAUGGGGACGUCAUUCCAAGGUCCUUAUAUACAGACACUGCAUGACCAGCAGGGAAUGGGGGCCCAGAUGGGACUAGGCGUGGGCAUGUGGCAGGCAGGUGG